GUGGGGAAUUUUGGACAAUGGGCGAAAGCCUGAUCCAGCAAUGCCGCGUGCAGGAUGAAGGCCCUCGGGUUGUAAACUGCUUUUGUACGGAACGAAAAGCCUGGGGCUAAUAUCCCCGGGUCAUGACGGUACCGUAAGAAUAAGCACCGGCUAACUACGUGCCAGCAGCCGCGGUAAUACGUAGGGUGCAAGCGUUAAUCGGAAUUACUGGGCGUAAAGCGUGCGCAGGCGGUUUUGUAAGACAGUGGUGAAAUCCCCGGGCUCAACCUGGGAACUGCCAUUGUGACUGCAAGGCUAGAGUGCGGCAGAGGGGGAUGGAAUUCCGCGUGUAGCAGUGAAAUGCGUAGAUAUGCGGAGGAACACCGAUGGCGAAGGCAAUCCCCUGGGCCUGCACUGACGCUCAUGCACGAAAGCGUGGGGAGCAAACAGGAUUAGAUACCCUUGUAGUCC
RNAcentral lists this ribosomal RNA (450 nucleotides) under uncultured bacterium. Its description in RNAcentral is "bacterial SSU rRNA". It matches the Rfam family "Bacterial small subunit ribosomal RNA", at positions 354 to 796 of the family's 1533-position model. The record is from RNAcentral.